RNAcentral lists this ribosomal RNA (950 nucleotides) under Mycosarcoma maydis (corn smut). RNAcentral describes it as "LSU rRNA". It matches the Rfam family "Eukaryotic large subunit ribosomal RNA", at positions 38 to 964 of the family's 3401-position model. The record is from RNAcentral. Lineage: Eukaryota; Fungi; Basidiomycota; Ustilaginomycetes; Ustilaginales.
GCAUAUCUAUUAUGCGGAGGAAAAGAAAACUAACAAGGAUUCCCCUAGUAACGGCGAGUGAAGAGGGAAGAGCCCAAGAUUGAAAGCUGGCGUCUUCGGCGUCCGCAUUGUAAUCUCAAGAAGUGUUUUUCCGCUUCGGACCAUGCCUAAGUCCCUUGGAAAAGGGCAUCAUAGAGGGUGAUAAUCCCGUACAUGGCAUGGAGCGCCCGUAGCUUUGUGAUACGCUUUCUAAGAGUCGAGUUGUUUGGGAAUGCAGCUCAAAAUGGGUGGUAAAUGCCAUCUAAGGCUAAAUAUUGGGGAGAGACCGAUAGCGAACAAGUACAGUGAUGGAAAGAUGAAAAGAACUUUGAAAAGAGAGUUAAACAGUACGUGAAAUUGCCAAAAGGGAAGGGUAGGAGGUCAGAGAUGCGUCUUGGGAUUCAGCCUUGCUUUUGCCUGGUGUUUUUCCCAAGCUGCAGGCCAACGUCGGUUUUGGGCACUGGAGAAGGGUAGGAGGAACGUGGCACCUCUCGGGGUGUGUUAUAGCCUCCUACUGGAUACAGCGACCGAGACCGAGGAACGCAGCGUACUCGUAAGAGCGGGCCUUUUGGCACCUUUACGCUUAGGGCGUUGGCAUAAUGGCCCUCUACCACCCGUCUUGAAACACGGACCAAGGAGUCUAACAUGUAUGCGAGUCUUUGGGUGGCAAACCCAUAGGCGCAAUGAAAGUGAAUUCAGGUGGGAUCCGCAAGGUGCACCAUCGACCGAUCCUCACGUCUUUUAAGUCGUGGAUUUGAGUAAGAGCAUACCUGUUGGGACCCGAAAGAUGGUGAACUAUGCCUGAAUAGGGUGAAGCCAGAGGAAACUCUGGUGGAGGCUCGUAGCGGUUCUGACGUGCAAAUCGAUCGUCAAAUUUGGGUAUAGGGGGCGAAAGACUAAAUCGAACCCAUCUAGUAGCUGGCUCUGCGAGU